RNAcentral lists this long non-coding RNA (645 nucleotides) under Androctonus crassicauda. The record is from RNAcentral. Lineage: Eukaryota; Metazoa; Arthropoda; Arachnida; Scorpiones; Buthidae.
UGCAAGCUCAUGUUUAUUUGAAACAGAAAAAUAAAAUGUAUUUGAUAAAUUAGAUACAUGAAUAAAUUUUGCAAAUCAAUGAAACGAUUUUAUAUUAUAAACGAACUGACCUAUCAAUUCUGUUAAUUGCAAACGGGUUGAAAGAUCGCUCUUUUGUCACUCAACAUACAUGGAAGAGUCGGACGUUUCAGAAGAAUCGGAGCUAGGUUUAUCCAAGAUCUACACUCAUGUUUUUUGAUGACCGACUUCUGUCCCUUUCGAAUCCGCUAUUCUAUACCUAUACUCUCUAUGUCCUCUCGCAUCCGUCGUGUCCAUACUCUAAGUGCCAGUACUCUCAUUCGUUUAUAUUACUUGGAUGUUUUCCAACGUUUCUUUUGCUUCCGUUUUCACAGUACACCUCUCCCACUGUUCUCAUUCAAACUACGAUUCCCAACCCGUUUUAUUGAUAUUUAAUUUAAACAAGAAUAACAAUAAUCGAGGGAGGAAAGGGGGUUUAAAAGGAGCUAAUUUUCGUUUCGUUGAUUUUUUCUUUGUAUACAUACUAAUAGGAAUGAAUACACAAAAUAUAAUAAAACUACUUAAUUAAUUAGAACUGAUUAUACAAAUUAAUUAAUUACAAUAUCAAUAUCAAUUAAUACAACUGAU